UACGAAGGGUGCAAGCGUUACUCGGAAUUACUGGGCGUAAAGCGUGCGUAGGUGGUUCGUUAAGUCUGAUGUGAAAGCCCUGGGCUCAACCUGGGAAUGGCAUUGGAUACUGGCGACCUAGAGUGCGGUAGAGGGUGGCGGAAUUCCCGGUGUAGCAGUGAAAUGCGUAGAUAUCUGGAGGAAUACCGGUGGCGAAGGCGGCAUCCUGGACCGGCAUUGACGCUGAUGAGCGAAAGCUAGGGGAGCAAACGGG
This 253-nucleotide ribosomal RNA is filed under the name uncultured bacterium. Its description in RNAcentral is "partial 16S ribosomal RNA". It matches the Rfam family "Bacterial small subunit ribosomal RNA", at positions 524 to 776 of the family's 1533-position model. The record is from RNAcentral.